This is a long non-coding RNA of Coffea arabica (coffee), 2155 nucleotides long. RefSeq lists it as uncharacterized. NCBI's taxonomy places the organism in Eukaryota, Viridiplantae, Streptophyta, Magnoliopsida, Gentianales, Rubiaceae. The record is from RefSeq and is a predicted model, not a curated record.
GGAGGGAUGAUUACUCUUUCCGCUUUUAUUGCCAGUGUGUCAACGCCGGAGUGCUUAUCAUAAAGAGCAUAUAUUGGGAAGGGCAGUCGCUAAUCUCUCGUCUGAGCUCCAGCUACGGAGAGGCGGCUGCAUUGUUAUUAUUAAGAGUUUAAUUAUGCUGGCAUGCUCUGUUUUAGUAGUGGAGGUUUGCUCUGCCUGCAACAUAAUAAUUCCUUUCAUUUCCAAGACUUCUCUUGCCAGCUUCUCGUGCAUUCUCUUCUUCACUUUUCGUAGAAUCUCUUUCCGUCUUUCCGCUUUUCGUAGAUUCUCUUUCUGCCAUUCCGUGAAACGAGGAUGCAUGGCUUCGUUUUUUCGUUCUUAUAUAGCCUCUGGCCUUAUUUUUUGCCUCUGCGCCAUCUUCUUUGUCUUCUUCUCUUGCCGGCGUGUGUUAGCUUCUUCCAUUGUCUGUUGCUCUUGCCUUCAUCUAACUUGUGCUACUAUCUGUUUUUGUUCUUGUUGUCGUCCUCAUCAGCGUUGUUGUUGCUACUAUUACUCGAGUCAGGUACUUGUUUUGUUCUUUUUUUGCCAUUUUUUGAGCGUAUGUAUCUUUUUUCCGUCCGUUUUGCGGUUUAUUCCCUGUUUAGCUUGCUACUUUCCGAUUUUCUAUUGCUCAUCGCUUUUAUCGUGCUCUUCUGAGCUAUAGUUAUAUUCAUCAUCAUUACUGUCUCUUUUCUUUUAUUUUCCUUUCAGUUGUGGCCUGUUUACUUGGUCUUGUCAUUCAUUCGUAAAGACAUAUAUGUGUUGUGUAUUGCUUUUUGUCUGGUCCGUGGAAGGUUUUUUGCCUUUUGCCAGCUUUAUUUGGUAUCUUUUCUGCUGACUAUUCACCUUCCUUUGUAGCUUGUUGUUUGGUUUUUUUUAGCCUCCAUGGAAAAAUGCAUUGGAGUAACAAAAAAACUAAACGGCUAGCACGCCGCUGUGUCUUUGUCGACUUCGCUGCCUCAACUACAGCUUUGCUUGUUUUUCAUCAUGUUGUACAUUUUACGAGGAAUAUCCUAUCGUUCUUGUGAUCUGUUUUGAAGAAUUUCUUGCACUUGCUUCCCUGUUACUUCCUGUGUGGUGGAUGGUGUUUUCCUUUCAGGUCUUGUCGUUCCUGCUUUUGCCCUGCUGCCUCAGGUCUUUAUCAUUUUCAAGAAUUGAAGUGCCAUCUCACAUCGUUUCUCAGGCAACUUAUAUUUACAUAUGAACUAUAGUUAGUGCCUAUUCAAUUCCAGGCCCUUCUAAUCAAGCACCGUUGUAGCUAGAUAACUAACUAUAAGAGAAGGGUAUAGAACAUGGCUUAUCCAACUUCGUCGGCAGUCAUUCGCUGAAGGAUGGCAGGAGUUUUGCCGCAGCAACAUCAUCAAGGAAAACUACUUUUUCUUGCUUCGACAUUCUGGUCACCUAAUUUUCGACGUCAUCCAUUUUUGCGAGGACAAAAAACAAGUAUACAUGCCAUGGACAAAUCCUCUACCUAAUAUAUUGCAUUCACAUCCAUCCCUUGAGUUAGGAAGUUGAGGGUUAACUGCUUUUGUUUUGUAUCAGCCCAUUUGUAUUUUUUAAUUUUUUUUGCCUCAUGCGAUUGUCCUUUAAUUUCCAGGUGAUAUGAAGCAAAAAAUGAUACGGCAGCGAGUGUCAUCAUCAAUGAGGCCUGAUUUCGUACAAACUUUAACCGAAGGCAUGUGUUUCUGUCAAUUCAUUGACAAACAGAAUCGGCAUAACUUUUCCCAAGGUUUGUUGCUCAGUUCGUCCAUAGUAGCAAGACUCCUUCGAUUACUCUGAGGACUGGAAACAAAACAAUAACUAUUACAAUGCGUGGAAGGCAGUUUACUGACAACUGGAACAUCUUUGUGGCAGAGCACCAACUGCAGUUUCGAGAAGUUUUGGUCUUUGUUCCUGAAUCCAUUACUACCUACACUGUUCUAAUCUAUGAUAGACAUGGUGCAGAAAAACACUUCCCAUGGUAUGAUAGCUUUUAUGUGUAUUCUACCAUGGGAGAUGCGGCAACUUGGUUGUAUUCUAUUGGCUUUUCUAACCAACGUUUGGUUUGAAAACUCCAUCUAUUCCUCUAUUAUCCAUUUUUGUAUGUUCAUCCGUAUGUACACUGUGCAUCCCUAAAAAAUGAUGGGCUUGUUUGGAA